Molecule: long non-coding RNA, 1194 nt
Filed under: Anas platyrhynchos platyrhynchos (common mallard)
Lineage: Eukaryota; Metazoa; Chordata; Aves; Anseriformes; Anatidae
Description: lncRNA (ENSAPLG00000021301.1)
Source: RNAcentral
CAAUACAGUGGUUUUACUGGUCCCCUUCCUGGCUUCUCCAAGGAUGGAGAACUCUACCAUUUCAUGGUCACUUUGCCCAAGACAGUUUCCAACCACCACAUCUCCCACCAGUCCUUCUCUGUUUGUGAAGAGAAGGUCUAGCAGGGCACCUGUGCCUGGUGUACACCAUUGCAGCUGAGCUAGUGGCAGCCCACCAUUAGAGGAGGUGUUCAUAUGGGCUGGGGGGAGCACUCUGCCCUUUCUGCUUGCCCUGCCUGUGCGAACUGCUGUGCCACUCCCUUCUGAUGCUCCACGCCCUGUUUGCCCGUCCUGUUCACCGCACUCCCUAAGGGCAGCUUAUGAACAGCCGGCCGGGGAGGGGGUGCUGCUGGCUCUGCCUAUGCCUGCUUCUCACCUCGUUCACCUCCCUCACGAGGGCUGCCGGGUCCUGGCGGUUCCCUCGAGUGGGCUCGGUGCCAGAAAAUUUAGCCCUGCCUGUCUGAUACCCCGCUCCGCUGCAGAACGCUUCUGCCCCGGAGCAGAUCACCUCGGCAAGUGGCUGAUGUCACACAGAUUAUUUUAUCUACUGGACAAAUAUCCAGGUAUCUUCAUAAAGAUAAUGUGGUGAUGUUUAAAUUUAUAAAUGAAACAUAGAUCACCUAAAAUGUGCUGUUAGGAAUGCAUGUUUGUAUUGAGGUUUCUUUACAUGUUCACAAGCAGUUUUUGAAAUGAGAUCAUUUUGUUGUUUUGGUAUGUUUCCUAUGCAUGGAUUUGAUAGUUCUUUAAUUUCUUGGUAAACAUGUACAAUCAUGAGGCUUAAAGUUAAUAGAACUAGACAUUGUAACGUUUGUGUUUCUUUCUCCUUUCCACCCACCAAUGCCGUGCCCCACUUUGAACAGCACUGAAGAUGAUAACCUAGGAAACCUUUCUCAGAUUCUACUGAGAUAUUUCUUUGACUGGGACCAUACAUGCAUACAUUCUAACCAAGGAAAAAAUAAUUCAUGUUGGCAGAUGGAAUCUUCUUUACCCCAGGAUUCAUGUAGAUGUGUGUCUGAACAGGAGGUAUGUCCAUGUAUAAGUAUGUGCAUGUAUUUAUGUAAAAAUGUGUGUGUGUUAUACAUGUAUAAUACUUUGAAUAUUCUUUUUGAAGAGGUAGAGAAAGAGAUGAGGAAGUAAACCUCAGAGCACUGGCUUUUUUUUUUGUUUCUGAUGAGU